CACGUAGGCGGAUAUUUAAGUCAGGGGUGAAAUCCCAGAGCUCAACUCUGGAACUGCCUUUGAUACUGGGUAUCUUGAGUAUGGAAGAGGUAAGUGGAAUUCCGAGUGUAGAGGUGAAAUUCGUAGAUAUUCGGAGGAACACCAGUGGCGAAGGCGGCUUACUGGUCCAUUACUGACGCUGAGGUGCGAAAGCGUGGGGAGCAAACA
This 207-nucleotide ribosomal RNA is filed under the name uncultured bacterium. RNAcentral's name for it is "partial 16S ribosomal RNA". It matches the Rfam family "Bacterial small subunit ribosomal RNA", at positions 568 to 774 of the family's 1533-position model. The record is from RNAcentral.